Molecule: long non-coding RNA, 354 nt
Filed under: Setaria viridis
Lineage: Eukaryota; Viridiplantae; Streptophyta; Magnoliopsida; Poales; Poaceae
Description: long non-coding RNA (SVIR_LNC003918)
Source: RNAcentral
GUAUGCUGGUCUCUGUUUCCUCUGCUAGCAGCGUUAUGAUGAUGAUGAAGUGUAACUGUGUGAACUGCUGCUGGAUGGUGAUCUGCAACAGGUGCGCCCGAAUGCCGUUGCGCUGGUGGAUGCGUUCAACUACACGGAUCACUACCUGGGAUCGGUGCUGGGGCGGUACGACGGGAAUGUGUACCCGGCACUGUACGAGGAGGCGUGGAAGGACCCUCUGAACGAGACGGUGGUGCCGGACGGGUACCACGAGUACCUCCGCCCCUUGCUCAAGCAGCAGCUCAGGCUCUCCAGGCUCUGAUCUGAUCAGCCACCUCCAGGAAUCCACCUUCUGAAUGGAUGAAUGAAUGGGUG